CAGCCGCCGCGGGAAUACAGAGGGUGCGAGCGUUAAUCGGAUUUACUGGGCGUAAAGCGUGCGUAGGCGGCUUCUUAAGUCGGAUGUGAAAUCCCUGAGCUUAACUUAGGAAUUGCAUUCGAUACUGGGAAGCUAGAGUAUGGGAGAGGAUGGUAGAAUUCCAGGUGUAGCGGUGAAAUGCGUAGAGAUCUGGAGGAAUACCGAUGGCGAAGGCAGCCAUCUGGCCUAAUACUGACGCUGAGGUACGAAAGCAUGGGGAGCAAACAGGAUUAGAUACCCGGGUAGUCCCUGUCUCUUAUCC
RNAcentral lists this ribosomal RNA (301 nucleotides) under uncultured bacterium. RNAcentral's name for it is "partial 16S ribosomal RNA". It matches the Rfam family "Bacterial small subunit ribosomal RNA", at positions 509 to 809 of the family's 1533-position model. The record is from RNAcentral.